RNAcentral lists this ribosomal RNA (849 nucleotides) under Staphylococcus sp. 11600755. RNAcentral's name for it is "bacterial SSU rRNA". It matches the Rfam family "Bacterial small subunit ribosomal RNA", at positions 62 to 892 of the family's 1533-position model. The record is from RNAcentral. Lineage: Bacteria; Bacillati; Bacillota; Bacilli; Caryophanales; Staphylococcaceae.
UCGAGCGAACAGACGAGGAGCUUGCUCCUCUGACGUUAGCGGCGGACGGGUGAGUAACACGUGGAUAACCUACCUAUAAGACUGGGAUAACUUCGGGAAACCGGAGCUAAUACCGGAUAAUAUAUUGAACCGCAUGGUUCAAUAGUGAAAGACGGUUUUGCUGUCACUUAUAGAUGGAUCCGCGCCGCAUUAGCUAGUUGGUAAGGUAACGGCUUACCAAGGCAACGAUGCGUAGCCGACCUGAGAGGGUGAUCGGCCACACUGGAACUGAGACACGGUCCAGACUCCUACGGGAGGCAGCAGUAGGGAAUCUUCCGCAAUGGGCGAAAGCCUGACGGAGCAACGCCGCGUGAGUGAUGAAGGUCUUCGGAUCGUAAAACUCUGUUAUUAGGGAAGAACAAAUGUGUAAGUAACUAUGCACGUCUUGACGGUACCUAAUCAGAAAGCCACGGCUAACUACGUGCCAGCAGCCGCGGUAAUACGUAGGUGGCAAGCGUUAUCCGGAAUUAUUGGGCGUAAAGCGCGCGUAGGCGGUUUUUUAAGUCUGAUGUGAAAGCCCACGGCUCAACCGUGGAGGGUCAUUGGAAACUGGAAAACUUGAGUGCAGAAGAGGAAAGUGGAAUUCCAUGUGUAGCGGUGAAAUGCGCAGAGAUAUGGAGGAACACCAGUGGCGAAGGCGACUUUCUGGUCUGUAACUGACGCUGAUGUGCGAAAGCGUGGGGAUCAAACAGGAUUAGAUACCCUGGUAGUCCACGCCGUAAACGAUGAGUGCUAAGUGUUAGGGGGUUUCCGCCCCUUAGUGCUGCAGCUAACGCAUUAAGCACUCCGCCUGGGGAGUACGACCGCAGG